Molecule: ribosomal RNA, 227 nt
Filed under: Escherichia coli
Lineage: Bacteria; Pseudomonadati; Pseudomonadota; Gammaproteobacteria; Enterobacterales; Enterobacteriaceae
Description: partial 16S ribosomal RNA
Rfam family: Bacterial small subunit ribosomal RNA
Source: RNAcentral
UUAAAUUGAAGAGUUUGAUCAUGGCUCAGAUUGAACGCUGGCGGCAGGCCUAACACAUGCAAGUCGAACGGUAACAGGAAACAGCUUGCUGUUUCGCUGACGAGUGGCGGACGGGUGAGUAAUGUCUGGGAAACUGCCUGAUGGAGGGGGAUAACUACUGGAAACGGUAGCUAAUACCGCAUAACGUCGCAAGACCAAAGAGGGGGACCUUCGGGCCUCUUGCCAUC